RNAcentral lists this ribosomal RNA (230 nucleotides) under Fusarium solani. RNAcentral describes it as "partial 28S ribosomal RNA". It matches the Rfam family "Eukaryotic large subunit ribosomal RNA", at positions 1 to 233 of the family's 3401-position model. The record is from RNAcentral. Lineage: Eukaryota; Fungi; Ascomycota; Sordariomycetes; Hypocreales; Nectriaceae.
UUGACCUCGAAUCAGGUAGGAAUACCCGCUGAACUUAAGCAUAUCAAUAAGCGGAGGAAAAGAAACCAACAGGGAUUGCCCCAGUAACGGCGAGUGAAGCGGCAACAGCUCAUAUUUGAAAUCUGGCUCUCGGGCCCGAGUUGUAAUUUGUAGAGGAUGCUUUUGGUGAGGUGCCUUCCGAGUUCCCUGGAACGGGACGCCAUAGAGGGUGAGAGCCCCGUCUGGUUGGA